UGGAGAUAGGAUUGUUGUGGUUAACCAAUGUGUUACACAGGCUGUUAAGCAGUUCCUGCUCCCAGUGAGGGCUACAUGCUAUUUAGCAUCGUUUUAGUUGCCUGUGGUCUGAGGCGAUGCUUUCUUCUGACAGAACGAAGGACUAUGUGAGUUUGUCACUUCUGCCAGCAGCACUGAGCUCAGGUCUCAGUUACCCCAUGUGCCGGUCUGAGGGGCCACUUGAAGCAGUUUUCUUGCCAGCUCCCCCAGACAUUCUGCAGAAGGAGGAGAUACACAGCAUUACACAGCCUACAAUCUGCAUAGACAAGGUUUCAUGGGAAACUGCUGCAGCUGCUGAAGACGGAAGGUGGAGUGAGGCCGUAGUCAGUUGGAGAGAUGGCUCUACAGAGCACUGCACUGGCAUUGCUGUACUUCUCCAGCUCCAGCCUGCCCAGCACCCUCAUCUGUUGAGUUUUCAGCACUGGCAUGGGUACAAGAAACAUUCACCACUGUGGUGCAGAAAACAAAGGAGAUCUCAUCACCGCAGGAGCCAAACUGCCUGGAAAAACAGUUGUUCCCUGUUCAAACAUGCAGGCUGCAUCUCUGCAAGGAGUCAAGCCAGCCAAGUAUAA
RNAcentral lists this long non-coding RNA (611 nucleotides) under Numida meleagris (helmeted guineafowl). Its description in RNAcentral is "lncRNA (ENSNMEG00000006500.1)". Lineage: Eukaryota; Metazoa; Chordata; Aves; Galliformes; Numididae. The record is from RNAcentral.